GAUGAACGCUGGCGGCGUGCCUAAUACAUGCAAGUCGAGCGAACAGACGAGGAGCUUGCUCCUCUGACGUUAGCGGCGGACGGGUGAGUAACACGUGGAUAACCUACCUAUAAGACUGGGAUAACUUCGGGAAACCGGAGCUAAUACCGGAUAACAUGUUGAACCGCAUGGUUCAACAGUGAAAGACGGUCUUGCUGUCACUUAUAGAUGGAUCCGCGCCGCAUUAGCUAGUUGGUAAGGUAACGGCUUACCAAGGCAACGAUGCGUAGCCGACCUGAGAGGGUGAUCGGCCACACUGGAACUGAGACACGGUCCAGACUCCUACGGGAGGCAGCAGUAGGGAAUCUUCCGCAAUGGGCGAAAGCCUGACGGAGCAACGCCGCGUGAGUGAAGAAGGUCUUCGGAUCGUAAAACUCUGUUAUUAGGGAAGAACAAAUAUGUAAGUAACUAUGCACGUCUUGACGGUACCUAAUCAGAAAGCCACGGCUAACUACGUG
This 497-nucleotide ribosomal RNA is filed under the name uncultured bacterium. RNAcentral describes it as "partial 16S ribosomal RNA". It matches the Rfam family "Bacterial small subunit ribosomal RNA", at positions 28 to 507 of the family's 1533-position model. The record is from RNAcentral.